RNAcentral lists this long non-coding RNA (2561 nucleotides) under Canis lupus familiaris (dog). RNAcentral's name for it is "lncRNA (ENSCAFG00000056934.1)". The record is from RNAcentral. Lineage: Eukaryota; Metazoa; Chordata; Mammalia; Carnivora; Canidae.
ACUAAUUUUGGGCUUUGUUCUUUUUCUAACUCCUUUAGGUAUAAGGUUAAAUUAUUUGAGAUUUUUCUUGUUCUUGAGACAGACCUUCCACAUACCAAAGAAUCUGCCUUGUGUUUCCAUUUUAUCUCCAUGUAUUUAUUUCCUCUUUGAUUUCUUCACUGACCCAUUGGUUGUUUAGUAGCACAUUGUUCAGCUUUUUCAAGUUUUUUCUUCCCUUGUAAUUAAUUUUUAGGUUCAUACUGUUACGGUGAGAAAAGAUGCUUGAUAUGAUUUCAACCUUAAGUGUAUUGAGACUACACUUGGGUGGCUCAGUGGUUGAGCCUCUGCCUUUGGCUCAGGUCACAUGAUCUGGGGUCCUGAAAUCCAGUCCUGCAUCAGGCUCCCUGUGAGGAGCCUGCUUUUUAUUUUUUUAAGAUUUUAUUUAUUUAUUCAUGAAAGACACAGACAGAGACAGAGACACAGGCAGAGGGGGAAGCAGGCUCCAUGCAGGAAGCCCAAUUUGGGACUCGAUGCCGGGACUCUGGGAUCACACUGAGCCAAAAGCAGAUGCUCAACCGCUGAGCCACCCAGGCAUCCCACGAGGAGCCUGCUUCUCCCUCUGCCUAUGUCUCUUCCUCUCUCUCUGUGUCUCUCAUGAAUAAAUAAAUAAUCUUUUAAAAAGUGUACCGAGACUUGUUUUGUAGCCUAACACGAUCUAUCCUGGAAAAUGUUCCAUGUGCACUCUGCCCUUUUUGGAUAGAAUGUUGUGUAUAUAUUUGCUAAGACCAUCCAGUCUAAUGUGUUGUUCAAACCCAUAUGAUCCGCCCACUGAUAUGAAUGGGGUUUUAAAUUCCUUACUAUUAUUGUAUACCGUCAAUAUUUGCUUUAUACAACUAGGUGCUCCUAUGUUGGGUGCAUAGAUAUUCAUAACUGUUAUACCUUCUUGUUGGAUCGUGCUCUUUAUCAUUAUGUAAUACCCUUCUGUGUCUCAUUACACAGUCUUUGUUUUAAAGUCUAUUUUGUCUGAUACAAGAAUUGCUACUCCAGUUUUUCUUUCACUCCCAUUUACAUGAAAUAUUUAUAUUUUAAGAUCUAAUUUAUUUGAGGGGUGACUGGGUGGCUCAGCUAGUUAGGCACUUGAGUCUUGGGUUCAGCCCUGGUCAUGAUUCUAUUGUGAGACUGAGCCCCACGUCUGGCUCCACAUUCAGGGGGGAGCCUGCUUCUCUCCUUUCCCUCUCCCCCUGCUUAUGUACUCUCUCUCUAAAAUAAUUCUUCAAAAAAAAAAAAAGAUUUGAGAGAGAGCAGCACUCCUGCAUGGAGUUUCUUUUUGCAUCCCUUCACUUCCAGUCUGUAUGUGAAGUGAGUGUCUUGUAGCAUAAUGACUGAUCCUGAUUCAUUAUUCAGUCACCUUAUGUCUUUUUAUGAGCAUUUAGUUCAUUCACAUUUAAAGUAACUACUAAUAGGGGUACCUGGUGGCUCAAAAGGUUGAGCAGCCAACUCGUGGUUUCAGUUCAGGUCAUGAUCUCAGGGUUAUGAGAUUGAGCCCUGUGUCAGGCUCUGUGCUCAGCAGAGUCUGCCUGUCCCUCUCCCUCCCUCUCUGCCCCUUCCCACAGUCAUGUAUGCAUGCUCUAAUAAAUCUUAAAAAAAAAAAAAAAAAGUAACUACUGACAGGUACAUACUUAUUGCUGUUUUGUCGUUUUCUGGUUGUUUUUAUAAUUCUUCGCUGUUCCAUUCUUCUCUGGCUCUCUUGCCUUCUGAUUUGAUGAUUUUCUUUAGUUGUAUGACUGAAUUCCUUUAUCUUUAUUUUUUUUUUAAGAUUUUAUAUUUCUUUAUUCAUGAGAGACACAGGAAGAGAGAGAGGCAGAGAUACAGGCAGAGGGAGAAGCAGGCUCCAUGCAGGGAGCCCGAGGCAGGACUCGAUCCCAGGUCUCCAGGAUCAUGCCCUGGGCUGAAGGCAGAUGUUUAACUGCUGAGCCACACAGGCAUCCAGGAUUCCUUUAUCUUUAAUGUAUCUGUUACAGGAUUUUGAUUUAUGGUUAUAAUGAAGUUCAUAUUUAACAUCCUGUGCAUAUAGCAGUCUAUUUUAAGUCGAUAAUCACAAGUUUGAACUCAUUCUAAAAGCACUACAUUUUUAUUCUCCCCUUCCAUGUUUUAUGCUUAUAUUGUCAUAUUUUAUAUCUCUUAAUUUUGUAUAUCUCUUAAUUACUGUAAAUAAUUAAGUAUUAAAUAAUCUUAAUACUUCCGUCUUUUAAACCUUCAUACUAGCAUUAUAAGUGAUACUACCUUUACUAUAUGUUUGCCUUUACCAGUGGAAUUUUUUCCUUUCAUGACUUCCUUACUUUUAGUUUUGGCCUUUCUUUUCCACUUAAAGAAGUCCCUUUAAAAGUUCCUGUAAGGUCGAUUUAGUGGUAAUGAAUUCCAACUUUUGUUUGUCUGGGAAACUCUUUAACUCUCCUUCAAUUCUGAAUGAUCUUGUUGGGUGGAUUGGUUAUAGAUUUUUUUCCUUUCAGCCCCCUGAAUAUAUCAUACCACUCCCUUAUGGCCUGAAGAGUUUCUGCUGAAAAAAAAAAAAAAAAAAGAGU